RNAcentral lists this ribosomal RNA (356 nucleotides) under uncultured Pseudomonas sp. Its description in RNAcentral is "bacterial SSU rRNA". It matches the Rfam family "Bacterial small subunit ribosomal RNA", at positions 1029 to 1382 of the family's 1533-position model. The record is from RNAcentral. Lineage: Bacteria; Pseudomonadati; Pseudomonadota; Gammaproteobacteria; Pseudomonadales; Pseudomonadaceae.
CUGACACAGGUGCUGCAUGGCUGUCGUCAGCUCGUGUCGUGAGAUGUUGGGUUAAGUCCGUAACGAGCGCAACCCUUGUCCUUAGUUACCAGCACGUUAUGGUGGGCGACUCUAAGGAGACUGCCGGUGACAAACCGGAGGAAGGUGGGGAGUGACGUCAAGUCAUCAUGGCCCUUACGGCCUGGGCUACACACGUGCUACAAUGGUCGGUACAAAGGGUUGCCAAGCCGCGAGGUGGAGCUAAUCCCAUAAAACCGAAUCGUAGUCCGGAUCGCAGUCUGCAACUCGACUGCGUGAAGUCGGAAUCGCUAGUAAUCGUGAAUCAGAAUGUCACGGUGAAUACGUUCCCGGGCCUU